This is a long non-coding RNA of Mobula hypostoma (lesser devil ray), 730 nucleotides long. RefSeq lists it as uncharacterized. The transcript has 3 exons. The record is from RefSeq and is a predicted model, not a curated record. Lineage: Eukaryota; Metazoa; Chordata; Chondrichthyes; Myliobatiformes; Myliobatidae.
UAGACCUCUGGAGAAGGACACGAGGAAACAUCCCGUGUCAAAGUGAAAUGAUUGCUGCGCCUUGAGCGUCUGUGGUGUGAACGCGAACGCUGAAACUAAACACAGAGGAGGAACUUAAACACCGGAAACAAAAAGGUUUUACUCCGGUAAAUCUGACGGGUUACAGUGGUUGUCGUACGCAUUGUCAACACAUAUCAAUAUACUCAACAUACCAAAAGAGGGAACAAACUAAACCGCUCCCUACUGCAUUAAUAACGCCAGAGGAAGUAAUCGGCCAAAUCCCAGCGGCAACUACCGGCGGAAUUGGCGCAGAGCUUUGAACUGCGGGAACUGUAGUUCGCACUGCAGUGCUUUAACUUUUUGGUUGCUUCUUGGGAGAAAUUCAGCCUCCGACAGGAAGUUUGUAGAGGCAAGGAAGCGUUACUAUUGGGUUUUGACGGGCAGCGUACGUACGUUCCAUUUAGCAAAUGCAACCUCUGAUGGUGAACGCUGUUGUAUAAUAAUGGCAAUUGAACGGAUCUAAGAUAAGAUCACGCGUUCUAAAUGAGUGAGGGGUUGCUGCAAUAUGAAGACCGGCGCUUCAACCAGCUGAGAAACACAGUUUAUUUUAAAAUGCAACGCACACAAAAUGCUGGAGAAACUCAGCAGGUCAGACAGCAUCUAUGGAGAGGAAUAAACAGUCGACGUUUCAGGCCGAGACCGCUCUUCGGGACUCGGGAUUCCCAGAAUC